RNAcentral lists this ribosomal RNA (253 nucleotides) under uncultured bacterium. Its description in RNAcentral is "partial 16S ribosomal RNA". It matches the Rfam family "Bacterial small subunit ribosomal RNA", at positions 524 to 776 of the family's 1533-position model. The record is from RNAcentral.
GACGAACCGUGCGAACGUUGUUCGGAAUCACUGGGCUUAAAGGGCGUGCAGGCGGUCUGUUAAGUCUAGGGUGAAAGCUCCCGGCUCAACUGGGAGAGGUCCUUGGAUACUGGCGGACUUGAGGGAGGUAGAGGAAAGUGGAAUUCCCGGUGUAGUGGUGAUAUGCGUAGAUAUCGGGAGGAACACCAGUGGCGAAGGCGGCUUUCUGGGCCUUACCUGACGCUGAGACGCGAAAGCGUGGGGAGCGAACGGG